Molecule: ribosomal RNA, 256 nt
Filed under: uncultured bacterium
Lineage: Bacteria
Description: partial 16S ribosomal RNA
Rfam family: Bacterial small subunit ribosomal RNA
Source: RNAcentral
UACGUAGGGUGCAAGCGUUUGUCCGGAAUUAUUGGGCGUAAAGAGCUCGUAGGCGGUCUGUCGCGUCGGCUGUGAAAACCCGGAGCUCAACUCCGGGCCUGCAGUCGAUACGGGCAGACUGGAGUUCGGCAGGGGAGACUGGAAUUCCUGGUGUAGCGGUGAAAUGCGCAGAUAUCAGGAGGAACACCGGUGGCGAAGGCGGGGUCUCCUGGGCCGAUACUGACGCUGAGGAGCGAAAGCGUGGGGAGCGAACAGG